RNAcentral lists this ribosomal RNA (430 nucleotides) under Doriopsilla gemela. Its description in RNAcentral is "partial 16S ribosomal RNA". It matches the Rfam family "Bacterial large subunit ribosomal RNA", at positions 1828 to 2597 of the family's 2925-position model. The record is from RNAcentral. Lineage: Eukaryota; Metazoa; Mollusca; Gastropoda; Nudibranchia; Dendrodorididae.
AGCCUUAGGAAAAAAUCUUAGGUUUUACCUGCCCAAUGUAAAUUAUGAAUGGCCGCGGUACUUUGACCGUGCUAAGGUAGCGUAAUUACUUGUCUUUUAAAUGGAGUCAUGUAUGAAUGGAAUAACGGAGUUUGGCUGUCUCUUUAUUAAUUUAUUGAAAUUACUAUGGAGGUGAAAAAGCCUCUAAUUAGAAAAAGGACGAGAAGACCCUUAGAGUUUAAUUUAUCAAAAAUAUUCUUUUACCAAUUUUGUUGGGGCAACAUAGGAACAAUUAAAUUUCCUAAUUUUACAAACCGACCUUUGUAAGAAUGAAUAAACUACCUUAGGGAUAACAGCAUAAUUUAUUUUAAGUUUGUGACCUCGAUGUUGGACUAGGAAACUAAAUGGUUAGCCGCUUUUUGGAUAAGUUCUGUUCGAACUAUAAUUUCCU